GACGAACGCUGGCGGCGUGCUUAACACAUGCAAGUCGAACGGAAAGGCCCUGCUUUUGUGGGGUGCUCGAGUGGCGAACGGGUGAGUAACACGUGAGUAACCUGCCCUUGACUUUGGGAUAACUUCAGGAAACUGGGGCUAAUACCGGAUAGGAGCUCCUGCUGCAUGGUGGGGGUUGGAAAGUUUCGGCGGUUGGGGAUGGACUCGCGGCUUAUCAGCUUGUUGGUGGGGUAGUGGCUUACCAAGGCUUUGACGGGUAGCCGGCCUGAGAGGGUGACCGGCCACAUUGGGACUGAGAUACGGCCCAGACUCCUACGGGAGGCAGCAGUGGGGAAUAUUGCACAAUGGGCGGAAGCCUGAUGCAGCAACGCCGCGUGCGGGAUGACGGCCUUCGGGUUGUAAACCGCUUUCGCCUGUGACGAAGCGUGAGUGACGGUAAUGGGUAAAGAAGCACCGGCUAACUACGUGCCAGCAGCCGCGGUGAUACGUAGGGUGCGAGCGUUGUCCGGAUUUAUUGGGCGUAAAGGGCUCGUAGGUGGUUGAUCGCGUCGGAAGUGUAAUCUUGGGGCUUAACCCUGAGCGUGCUUUCGAUACGGGUUGACUUGAGGAAGGUAGGGGAGAAUGAAAUUCCUGGUGGAGCGGUGGAAUGCGCAGAUAUCAGGAGGAACACCAGUGGCGAAGGCGGUUCUCUGGGCCUUUCCUGACGCUGAGGAGCGAAAGCGUGGGGAGCGAACAGGCUUAGAUACCCUGGUAGUCCACGCUGUAAACGGUGGGUACUAGGUGUGGGGUCCAUUCCACGGGUUCCGUGCCGUAGCUAACGCUUUAAGUACCCCGCCUGGGGGGUACGGCCGCAAGGCUAAAACUCAAAGGAAUUGACGGGGCCCCGCACAAGCGGCGGAGCAUGCGGAUUAAUUCGAUGCAACGCGUAGAACCUUACCUGGGUUUGACAUGGAUCGGGAGUGCUCAGAGAUGGGUGUGCCUCUUUUGGGGUCGGUUCACAGGUGGUGCAUGCCUGUCGUCAGCUCGUGUCGUGAGAUGUUGGGUUAAGUCCCGCAACGAGCGCAACCCUUGUUCACUGUUGCCAGCACGUUAUGGUGGGGACUCAGUGGAGACCGCCGGGGCCAACUCGGAGGAAGGUGGGGAUGACGUCAAGUCAUCAUGCCCCUUAUGUCCAGGGCUUCACGCAUGCUACAAUGGCUGGUACAGAGAGUGGCGAGCCUGUGAGGGUGAGCGAAUCUCGGAAAGCCGGUCUCAGUUCGGAUUGGGGUCUGCAACUCGACCUCAUGAAGUCGGAGUCGCUAGUAAUCGCAGAUCAGCAACGCUGCGGUGAAUACGUUCCCGGGGCU
This 1346-nucleotide ribosomal RNA is filed under the name uncultured bacterium. RNAcentral's name for it is "partial 16S ribosomal RNA". It matches the Rfam family "Bacterial small subunit ribosomal RNA", at positions 28 to 1381 of the family's 1533-position model. The record is from RNAcentral.